Tarenaya hassleriana is the source of this 295-nucleotide long non-coding RNA. RefSeq lists it as uncharacterized. The transcript has 2 exons. The record is from RefSeq and is a predicted model, not a curated record. NCBI's taxonomy places the organism in Eukaryota, Viridiplantae, Streptophyta, Magnoliopsida, Brassicales, Cleomaceae.
GUAAGACACCUUCAGAUGCAGUUCCUAUCUUUCCGAGCGCUUUAAAGGCCUCAGUUCUCACUUCUACACUCAUAUCUCUUAUCAUAGAGCAAAGCUGAGAGCAGGACAAUGGAACAGAUAAGCCAAUGUAUCAUCAAAACUCUAUCCCGUACUCUCAAGCUACCCUUAAGCAACUGUCAAUGUCACUAGAAUCUGUUUCUAUCAGUGUGGAUUCAAUGGGUAGAUUUCAUCAAACAGACUAUUCUAAUGCAAAAUAUCUUCUCUGGCUGUGACUCAGUUGGAGGACAUCUCUAUC